GAUGAACGCUAGCGGGAGGCCUAACACAUGCAAGCCGAGCGGUAUUGUUUCUUCGGAAAUGAGAGAGCGGCGUACGGGUGCGUAACACGUGUGCAACCUGCCUUUAUCUGGGGGAUAGCCUUUCGAAAGGAAGAUUAAUACUCCAUAAUAUAUUGAACGGCAUCGUUUAAUAUUGAAAGCUCCGGCGGAUAGAGAUGGGCACGCGCAAGAUUAGCUAGUUGGUGAGGUAACGGCUCACCAAGGCGAUGAUCUUUAGGGGGCCUGAGAGGGUGAUCCCCCACACUGGUACUGAGACACGGACCAGACUCCAACGGGAGGCAGCAGUGAGGAAUAUUGGUCAAUGGGUGCAAGCCUGAACCAGCCAUCCCGUGUGAAGGACGACUGCCCUAUGGGUUGUAAACUUCUUUUGUAUAGGGAUAAACCUACCCUCGAGAGGGUAGCUGAAGGUACUAUACGAAUAAGCACCGGCUAACUCCGUG
RNAcentral lists this ribosomal RNA (479 nucleotides) under uncultured bacterium. RNAcentral describes it as "partial 16S ribosomal RNA". It matches the Rfam family "Bacterial small subunit ribosomal RNA", at positions 28 to 507 of the family's 1533-position model. The record is from RNAcentral.